GUGGGGCUGUAGCUCAGUGGCAGAGUGCUUGCCUCGCACAUGUGAGGCACUGGGUUUGAUCCUCAGCACCACA
Molecule: transfer RNA, 73 nt
Filed under: Marmota monax (woodchuck)
Lineage: Eukaryota; Metazoa; Chordata; Mammalia; Rodentia; Sciuridae
Description: tRNA.Ala
Source: RNAcentral